GUUUGUAACAUCGAGACCCUUCUCUAACCUUCUUCGUCUCCUCCUUCAAUCUCCUCUUACCUUGGACGUUUCUUUUUCUUGAAACUCCAUCUUCGACAAUCAAUGCUUCUGAAAUCUCAUUGGUGGCUUUGUUUCACCUUUCUCUAUCUAAGUGUAUUUAUACCUCUUUAUUUUACCCCAUCUUCUUAAUUGCCUUUUUCUUCCUGAUAAAAAUUAUCUCAAACCAUGAAUUCCAAAAGCAAUUCUGGCGAUCUGAUGUCCAAGAAAACAGAUGGCAACGACGGUGAUUCCUCCGCCGUACCAAUCAAACAGACCGGCCGUACCGGUGACUCUUCCCCGAAGCUGUCUCCGGCUUCCUCGGCAACGACGGUGCUUCCUCCGCCGUACCAAUCAAGCAGAGCGGCCAAACCGGUGACUCUUCCGCCAAAUCUGUCUUCAGAAGUUUUAGCCGUCGACACAGUCGACGAUCAUGGGAGGUCUGUUUCUUUUUUCAUUACCAAGUUCUCCCUGUUUUUUUUUUCUUUUUGCAAAAAGUUCUAUUCCUGUUUUAGUUUAUCUUACCAUUCGAUGAACACUAUGAAUCCUGAAUAAACAAUGGACUAUUUAUAUUAAUAUUUUUUUUUUGGGAUUAAAUAUUAGUUGUGUUGUAGUUAUAUUUUUCUUAAGGUAUGGUGUUUUUGACCUGACAUAUGUAUCUAAGGAAGAUUGCUAUGAAAAAGUGAGGCACUUUUUGUCUUGGGUUAGUGGUCUACGAGAAUAAGGUAAACAUCCUUGCGCCAGUUUACUUUGUAAAGCAACCUUUUAGGGUACCUUACUCCAACAUUACUAAUCAACUUUUUAGGGUACCUUACUCCAUAGCUCAGGUUUACAUUGUAAAACAACUUUUUACGCUACCUUACUCCAAACUCUGGUCUCCAUUGCAGUUCAGCGUAUUGGGACAGACUUUUCUUUUGACUUUUGUCUUUACUUUCUAUUCCUUAAACCAUGUAAUUUCCUAUGAAAUAUCCUUAAUGUUACAUUGUCUGAUGAAGACCCUGACAUUGAACAGAGACUAUAUAUAACUGCAUCAAUAUAGUAAGUCUUCCUUGCUUAGCAUAAACGUACUUUUCUUUCGGUAUGAAUUUUUCUUCCUGUGUAUGAAACGUAACUUAUUUGAUGGUGUUUUUCGAUUUCGCUUUCCUAGCUUUCAUGUGACCUUUGUUUUAUUCUUUGCAGGAAGAGCACGACUGCUGCAAUUCAUUUUAGGAUGUUUGUCACGCAUAUAGAAAGAAACGUUGGGGUGUUAUGAAUCAGAGAUUUGAUUGACUACGUGAGCUGAUCACUGAGCUAACGGCUACCAUCCUCACUUGACUGCUACUGAUCAAGGUGCAUCUGUUGACAUCCAUCUCUAAUAUUUUCGGGCUCAUGCGAUCUUGGGUAUGAACAAGUCUGAGAUUGAUACGGGUGGCAGCAGCUAUUUUUUCACAAAGUUUGUUCGUUUGAUUGACGCAGGUACCUGCGGCUGCGUCUAGACGCUGCGUCAAUGCGUUAAUAGAAUCAUGACGCCGAUAAAAUCAGCGGCUGAGACUUAAAUUCUGCGUCCAUCUACAUAAUUUACCAUUUUGUCCUUAAAACAUUUAAGUAUUUACAUAAAAACCUUAACCUAAUUGACGCAAGACGCAGCUCUCUCAUCCCUGACGCAACCUCGAGCUCUCUCAUCUCCAUCUCAGGCAGACCUCGAGCUCUCCCAUCUCCACGCCUCGAGCUCUCUCAUUUCCAUCUCCGACGAAGACCUCGAGCUCUCUCAUCUUCAACUCCGACAAAGACCUUAAGCUCUCUCAUCUCUAUCUCACGCAGCCACGAGCUCUCUCAUCUCCAGGCCUCGAGCUCUCGCUUCUCCAUCUCACGCAGCCACGAGCUCUCUCAACUCCAAGCCUCGAGUUCUCUCUUCCCCUCCGAUUUGGGUUUCAAGCAUCGUUGAGGUUGUGGAAAGUUCAGAUGUUGUAUCCAAGCUUGUGAAGUUUACUGAACAAAGCAAAACCAUGAAGGAGAUGUUUGGUCUGGCCUUCACGCAUCCUUCCUUGUUGACAUCUCAGAAAGCGCAUGGUUCAAGUGUUUUUUUGCAGGUUAUUGCUGGUGUUACUGGCAAGAAACAUAGCUUAAUACAUGCAAUGAUUUUCCCCUGUUUUCCUUAUAUUCAGAUUCUUUCUGUCUUUAACUCAUUCCAUUCUCAAAUGAAAUAUGCUAAGACCUCGUGUUGUUUUUUACAUAAA
This is a long non-coding RNA of Raphanus sativus (radish), 2252 nucleotides long. RefSeq lists it as uncharacterized. NCBI's taxonomy places the organism in Eukaryota, Viridiplantae, Streptophyta, Magnoliopsida, Brassicales, Brassicaceae. The record is from RefSeq and is a predicted model, not a curated record. The transcript has 4 exons.